UGGGGAAUAUUGCACAAUGGGCGCAAGCCUGAUGCAGCCAUGCCGCGUGUGUGAAGAAGGCCUUCGGGUUGUAAAGCACUUUCAGCGGGGAGGAAGGCGGUGAGGCUAAUAACCUCAUCGAUUGACGUUACCCGCAGAAGAAGCACCGGCUAACUCCGUGCCAGCAGCCGCGGUAAUACGGAGGGUGCAAGCGUUAAUCGGAAUUACUGGGCGUAAAGCGCACGCAGGCGGUCUGUCAAGUCGGAUGUGAAAUCCCCGGGCUCAACCUGGGAACUGCAUUCGAAACUGGCAGGCUAGAGUCUUGUAGAGGGGGGUAGAAUUCCAGGUGUAGCGGUGAAAUGCGUAGAGAUCUGGAGGAAUACCGGUGGCGAAGGCGGCCCCCUGGACAAAGACUGACGCUCAGGUGCGAAAGCGUGGGGAGCAAACAGG
RNAcentral lists this ribosomal RNA (429 nucleotides) under Chloroflexota bacterium. Its description in RNAcentral is "Chloroflexi bacterium partial 16S ribosomal RNA". It matches the Rfam family "Bacterial small subunit ribosomal RNA", at positions 355 to 776 of the family's 1533-position model. The record is from RNAcentral. Lineage: Bacteria; Bacillati; Chloroflexota.